AUUGAACGCUGGCGGCAGGCCUAACACAUGCAAGUCGAGCGGAUGAAGGGAGCUUGCUCCUGGAUUCAGCGGCGGACGGGUGAGUAAUGCCUAGGAAUCUGCCUGGUAGUGGGGGAUAACGUCCGGAAACGGGCGCUAAUACCGCAUACGUCCUGAGGGAGAAAGUGGGGGAUCUUCGGACCUCACGCUAUCAGAUGAGCCUAGGUCGGAUUAGCUAGUUGGUGGGGUAAAGGCCUACCAAGGCGACGUUCCGUAACUGGUCUGAGAGGAUGAUCAGUCACACUGGAACUGAGACACGGUCCAGACUCCUACGGGAGGCAGCAGUGGGGAAUACUGGACAAUGGGCGAAAGCCUGAUCCAGCCAUGCCGCGUGUGUGAAGAAGGUCUUCGGAUUGUAAAGCACUUUAAGUUGGGAGGAAGGGCAGUAAGUUAAUACCUUGCUGUUUUGACGUUACCAACAGAAUAAGCACCGGCUAACUUCGUG
RNAcentral lists this ribosomal RNA (484 nucleotides) under uncultured bacterium. RNAcentral's name for it is "partial 16S ribosomal RNA". It matches the Rfam family "Bacterial small subunit ribosomal RNA", at positions 30 to 507 of the family's 1533-position model. The record is from RNAcentral.